AAAUUAUGUAAUAUUUUUGUGAUUUUAUAUAAGAUAACCUAUAUAAAAUGGUAUGUCAAUAGUAAUUAAACAUGUAUAUAUAUAGGUGGUAAAGUGAAAGUUAAUCUGCCAUACCAUAUCCAAUCCACAAUAUUAAAAAGGGAAAAAAAAAAUUGAACUUAUAAAAUCAAGAUAGAAGAUAUUGAUUCUUAAGAGAUUCAAUCUAUUGAACAUGCAUCAAUGGCUGCUUGUAUGCUCCGGAUCAGCCACAGUGAAACAACUCUUGCUCCUUUGUAAAUAGAUUCAAUGGCAAAUUUGUUCACUUUGUAGCCACACUGAGUAAAUGGGUUUCCAGUAUAGUCAUUGGGCUAUGCAAUCUUUGGUGUAUUCUCUGAUGAUUUGAUUUCAUAUAAAGUAAAAUUAUUUUAUUAUAAAAAAUAAUAUAAUUUAAUAUAAAUUUACAAUUCAUUUAAU
Molecule: unclassified non-coding RNA, 453 nt
Filed under: Hevea brasiliensis (rubber tree)
Lineage: Eukaryota; Viridiplantae; Streptophyta; Magnoliopsida; Malpighiales; Euphorbiaceae
Source: RNAcentral